This 253-nucleotide ribosomal RNA is filed under the name uncultured bacterium. Its description in RNAcentral is "partial 16S ribosomal RNA". It matches the Rfam family "Bacterial small subunit ribosomal RNA", at positions 524 to 776 of the family's 1533-position model. The record is from RNAcentral.
UACGUAGGGUGCAAGCGUUGUCCGGAAUUAUUGGGCGUAAAGAGCUCGUAGGCGGUUUGUCGCGUCUGCUGUGAAAUCCCGAGGCUCAACCUCGGGCCUGCAGUGGGUACGGGCAGACUGGAGUGCGGUAGGGGAGAAUGGAAUUCCUGGUGUAGCGGUGGAAUGCGCAGAUAUCAGGAGGAACACCGAUGGCGAAGGCAGGUCUCUGGGCUAUAACUGACGCUCAUGCACGAAAGCGUGGGGAGCAAACAGG